UUGGGCGUAAGCGCGCGCAGGCGGUCUUUUAAGUCUGAUGUGAAAGCCCACGGCUCAACCGUGGAGGGUCAUUGGAAACUGGGAGACUUGAGUGCAGGAGAGAAAAGUGGAAUUCCACGUGUAGCGGUGAAAUGCGUAGAGAUGUGGAGGAACACCAGUGGCGAAGGCGGCUUUUUGGCCUGUAACUGACGCUGAGGCGCGAAAGCGUGGGGAGCAAACAGGAUUAGAUACCCUGGUAGUCCACGCCGUAAACGAUGAGUGCUAGGUGUUGGGGGGUUCCACCCUCAGUGCUGACGUUAACACAUUAAGCACUCCGCCUGGGGGAGUACGGCCGCAAGGCUGAAACUCAAAGGAAUUGACGGGGGCCCCGCACAAAGCAGUGGAGCAUGUGG
RNAcentral lists this ribosomal RNA (392 nucleotides) under uncultured bacterium. RNAcentral's name for it is "bacterial SSU rRNA". It matches the Rfam family "Bacterial small subunit ribosomal RNA", at positions 554 to 944 of the family's 1533-position model. The record is from RNAcentral.